Molecule: ribosomal RNA, 213 nt
Filed under: uncultured bacterium
Lineage: Bacteria
Description: partial 16S ribosomal RNA
Rfam family: Bacterial small subunit ribosomal RNA
Source: RNAcentral
CCAACCUGCCGUCUACUCUUGGACAGCCUUCUGAAAGGAAGAUUAAUACAAGAUGGCAUCAUGAGUCCGCAUGUUCACAUGAUUAAAGGUAUUCCGGUAGACGAUGGGGAUGCGUUCCAUUAGAUAGUAGGCGGGGUAACGGCCCACCUAGUCUUCGAUGGAUAGGGGUUCUGAGAGGAAGGUCCCCCACAUUGGAACUGAGACACGGUCCAA